AAGAGAGCAGGCCAGGGA
RNAcentral lists this unclassified non-coding RNA (18 nucleotides) under Mus musculus (house mouse). Its description in RNAcentral is "oocyte_clustered_small_RNA8568". Lineage: Eukaryota; Metazoa; Chordata; Mammalia; Rodentia; Muridae. The record is from RNAcentral.